RNAcentral lists this ribosomal RNA (253 nucleotides) under uncultured bacterium. Its description in RNAcentral is "partial 16S ribosomal RNA". It matches the Rfam family "Bacterial small subunit ribosomal RNA", at positions 524 to 776 of the family's 1533-position model. The record is from RNAcentral.
UACGAGAGGCCCAAACGUUAUCCGGAAUCACUGGGCGUAAAGCGCGCGCAGGCGGUCAUCUACGUCUGGGGUGAAAGCCCGGAGCUCAACUCCGGGAUUGCCUUGGAUACGGGAUGACUUGAGGAUCGGAGAGGCAAGGGGAAUUCCACGUGUAGCGGUGAAAUGCGUAGAGAUGUGGAGGAACACCUGUGGCGAAGGCGCCUUGCUGGCCGAUUUCUGACGCUGAGGCGCGAAAGCGUGGGGAGCAAACAGG